UGGGGAAUCUUGGACAAUGGGCGCAAGCCUGAUCCAGCCAUGCCGCGUGAGUGAAGAAGGCCUUAGGGUUGUAAAGCUCUUUUGGCAGGGACGAUAAUGACGGUACCUGCAGAAUAAGCCCCGGCAAACUUCGUGCCAGCAGCCGCGGUAAUACGAAGGGGGCUAGCGUUGUUCGGAUUUACUGGGCGUAAAGCGCACGUAGGCGGAUUGUUAAGUCAGGGGUGAAAUCCCGGAGCUCAACUCCGGAACUGCCUUUGAUACUGGCAAUCUUGAGGCUGGAAGAGGUUGGUAGAAUUCCCAGUGUAGAGGUGAAAUUCGUAGAUAUUGGGAAGAAUACCAGUGGCGAAGGCGGCCAACUGGUCCAGAUCUGACGCUGAGGUGCGAAAGCGUGGGGAGCAAACA
This 402-nucleotide ribosomal RNA is filed under the name uncultured bacterium. RNAcentral's name for it is "bacterial SSU rRNA". It matches the Rfam family "Bacterial small subunit ribosomal RNA", at positions 355 to 774 of the family's 1533-position model. The record is from RNAcentral.